Molecule: long non-coding RNA, 1050 nt
Organism: Amphiprion ocellaris (clown anemonefish)
Lineage: Eukaryota; Metazoa; Chordata; Actinopteri; Pomacentridae
Source: Ensembl
UACGUGGCGAGUUUCUACCUUAUGACACAUCUGGUUGAAGUCAUAGUGGCAUUAACACAGGGCUAAACAGAACACCCAUCUAAAGUUUGCAGUUUUAGAUCACUGGUUCAAAGAAAACCGAACACCUGCUUUGUAUUGCAUGCAGUGUGAACCGUAUCUGCAUCUCUGCAGUCGACAAGCUGUCAAACAGUCUGGAUUAAUGACUUCCAAAUGCAAGCAACCUGUAAGACAGACGGGUAACAUCAAUGAUUUGAACAGAAGUGACAGUCCAGAGAAUACCACCUUACACGCUUCACUGGAGAGAGAGAGGGAGCAGACAUCGAGGAGAGGAAGAGUCAGUAUCCUCUUCCAUGCUUGAAAUCAGUCACCACAGCUGUGUCUAGGACACUGUUACACCUGUUGACCGGCGAAUGAACUCGACCAAGUGUUGCCAUCAUUGCCAUAGUGACCACCCAGCGCUGCCCCUGGCGUGCAGAAUUUCACCACAGAAACUUGACUUACCAGGAAACAGACAGAAAAGCGGACAUCGAAGAUCUAUAUUUGUUCAGGAAGUGGUAACGGCUGCUUUGCUUGCAUCUUUUUAAAUGGUAUGGACGGUGGCAGGAUGCUGAGUGUUUGUUUAACUGUGUGAUCAGUCACAUUUUACAAAGUAUGUGAUUGUAAUCUCCAACUGUGAGGAGACUCAUCUGAAUUUGCUCGGUUAGCUAUGAUAUAUAAUAAAAGCAAUCCAAAAGAGGACAUUUUUCUCCCUCCAACAUGAAUCGUAAUAUUGAUCUGCAUGCUUGUUAGUGGUGAGCUGAAGGGUUUCAAUGACAAUCAUUUGGUCCAUCUGUCUGUCCUCCCAUCUGUGCAAAAACCAAAAGACUACCAGGCAGACGGCCAUGUAAUACAGUACACACCGUGUUUAUUGUUUCCAAAGGAUUAUUCUCAAUGAUUUUGUUGACCUGCUGACCUUUCAUCUGUCCUGAUCAGUUCUUUGGUAGAUGGUCAGCUAUCUCAGAAACAUAAGACUCAGUAAUCAACACUUUUACAGUGGAUAGUCAUUGAUCC